UCUAAUUGGCAUGUUAUUUUG
Molecule: non-coding RNA, 21 nt
Filed under: Caenorhabditis elegans
Lineage: Eukaryota; Metazoa; Nematoda; Chromadorea; Rhabditida; Rhabditidae
Source: RNAcentral